Pantherophis guttatus is the source of this 5602-nucleotide non-coding RNA. The record is from RefSeq and is a predicted model, not a curated record. Lineage: Eukaryota; Metazoa; Chordata; Lepidosauria; Squamata; Colubridae.
CCUCUCCCUGUGCCGGUGAGAGCGGUUAACGCCCAAUACCGCCGAAGAGGACCUCCUCAUGGAGUUGAUGGUUCCUAAUUAUCUGACAGCAAUUUAAAAAGGGCAUUUACGUUCCGGAGAGCGGGGCUUCUCCCCGCUCCCGAAGGCACCUCCCGGCAGCUCAUUCUGCUGUUUAUUGAUGACUCUGGGGGAUUGAGGCUCUUCCGGCUUCUCCUUGACCCGCCGCCGUUGGAAAACACCCUCGCCCGGCGCUGCGGUCCUUAUCGGCCCCAGAUCGGAGAGAUAUCAGCGAAGAGGCUGGCGGUAUUGUAUAACGCUCAUUAGCGCCGUUUCAGGCUUUGCUUUGGCGCCAUUCCUUCUUCCCCUCUCCCUCCUUAUUCUAUUGCCUCCUAACUAGACAAAAAGGGGAAAAACCAUUAAAAGAGGCUUCGCUCUCCCUCUGAAACAUCAACUGGGAGCGAAAAGACUUACGGGCCGCCAUUUUGUUCCUGCCUCGUGGCCGUUAGAGGCCUGCUUUUAAGAUGGCUUCCCGGCCUACUAAAGCAACCAAACGCCAGGCCUCUGAGGACCCUACUCCUGGUCCCUCUUCAGCUGAGCCAGCUAAAAAGACUAAGAAACCUCAUUCUUCUAAAGAGGAUAAAAAGGCUGCAGCCAAAGCCAAGGAAGAGCUUCGUUUGCAUCAAGCAAUUGAACGCUCAAUCCAGAAGGCCAUUAGAGAGGCCUCACUUAGAGAGACCACAGCUCAGCAUGGGCCCAUGCCUCCUCAGCCUUUGGCCCCCCAGAUUUCUACAGCCACCCCACCUGACCCUUCAGCUGUCCAGGCCCCGGCCUUGCCCCAUUUGUCCCCAGACAGGGGGACAUUACCAUCACCAUUGCAAGGGGAUAUUUGCGAGGCCCUUUUCGGUCCUCAAUCCGACCCUCCCUCACAAGACCAAGCCCCCCCAUCGUCCACUCCCUCUGGCAUUCCCCCUGUAAUAGCCCCUGCGGGGGACCCUGGCCCUUCAGGCCCUUCUAUUACUCCAGAGCUACUGUCCUUCAUUCAAGUGGCUAUCCAUAAAGGGGUGCAAGCCGAGUUACAAUGUAAUACAUCCUCCUGGGUGGCAGGAUCGGCCUGCUCAGCCAUUGACUUAGAGGGCUCCUUAUUAGAGGAAGGCCACGCCCCUGCUGAUAUUGCUGCCGCUUCAAUAGCACCUUCAGAACAUCCAUCCUACCCCGAGGAUGACGCUCGGGAAAGGGAGCUUUCCGAUGAUGAAGACCUUGGCCCUGACCAGCCUUCAUUCGUAGGUCUCUUUAAGCCCCAGCUUUUUAGGUCUUUGCUACAUAAGGCUAAACUAACCACCCAUCUGGGGAACCCUUCGGUUAAUCCCUCGUCAACCGGGGAUGCAGGAGCGCCUCUGCCCCUCUUUGAGGUCCCGGAGGUGGAAACGGAGGAAAUUCCGGGCCCAAAACUUUUUAGGGACGUCCUUAGGAAGCAAUGGUCCUCUCCUGCUUCGGGGCCUAACCCUAACCAAUUAGAUAGACGGUUUUACAAUUUGGCCCAGAGUUGGCAUCACUCCUUCAAAUUCUGGUGAUUGAUCCCCCAGUAGCCGCUCUGGCAGCCCCGUCUAAUGUAAAUGGGCCACCUGAAGAUAACCUCCGUCCGGAGGAUAAACGAUUGGAGCAAUCCUUGGUAAGAUCACAUAUGGCCUCAGCCUGGGCAGCUAAAUCUGCCCUGGCUUCAUCCUUUUUCAAUAGGGCAUCUAUCCUUUGGAUCAGGCAACUGCAGGAUAGGCUCCCGGUAUCGGAUACCAGGUCCCACCAGGACCUUAAUAAGAUCUUAGCUGCCCUAGAGUUCUCCGCGGACGCGACGCUCAACGCCGCUCGCUUUGCGGCGAAGUCCAUAGGAUCCUCAGUCACCUCCCGCCGCCUGCUCUGGCUCCGCAAUUGGCAGGCGGACGCCAAAUCGAAGUGGCGCCUUGCCUCUUCUGCCUUCGAGGGCCCCUCCCUCUUCGGGGCACCCCUGGAACCUUUGCUGAUAGAAACAAGGGACAAGAAACGUAUCCUUCCCAGUGUCUCCAGACGGUCAGAUCUUCGACCUCCCGCUCCCCACUUUCGCUCCUUUCGUCCCUUCGAAUACCCUCACUCGGGGUAGGCCUCCCAGAGCCUUUCCCUCUCGUUUCCGGCCCCCAGAUCGCCAAGGGUACCCGCUCCAGAGGGGAUUCCCCAGACGUUUUUCCCGUGGGGGCCGCGGGCGGCCCUUCCGCAGAUUGCGAUAACUGCACGUCUAAUCCUCCCAUUGGGGGCUGCCUGGCUCUCUUCGCCAGCCAGUGGGAGGCUUCAUCUUCGGACACUUGGGUUCGGGAGACGGUUAGGUGGGGCCUCUCCCUAGAAUUUCUCUCCACUCCUCCCGACAGGUUUCUCCGAUGCCCUACUUCCUGGGAUCGGCAGAAACGGCUCCUGCUGGACUCGGCUAUCAAACAUCUCCUUGACAUUCAGGCCAUCGAGCCGGUUCCUCAGGAGCAGCACGGACAGGGUUUUUACUCCCGCCUGUUCGUCGUUCAGAAAUCCUCGGGGGGCUGGAGGGCUAUUAGACCUCAAGUCUUUGAACUGCUGGGUCGCCUACCGGCGGUUCAAGAUGCAGUCACUUUCCUCCAUUUUGGAAAGUAUAAGGGUCGGGGACUUCCUCACGUCAGUUGACCUGACUGAGGCCUAUCUUCAUGUCCCCAUUCAUCCGGCUUAUACCAAAUUUCUUUGGUUUUGUUAUGCGGGCCGCCACUACCAGUAUCGUGCCCUUCCAUUCGGCCUAUCCUCGGCUCCCCGAGUUUUCACUAAAUUGAUGGCUGCUCUUGCGGCUCACCUUCGAGCUCUACCAAUUCGGAUCCAAUGUUACCUCGACGAUCUCCUCAUCCUCUCGAGCUCGGAGGCCCGGGCACAUCAGGACCUGGACUCCACCCUCCAGAUCCUGACGGCUCAUGGCUUCUCCAUCAACUGGGCCAAGAGCCAUCUGAUACCUACGACCCGCAUCCAACACCUGGGGACUAUCAUUGAUACGGUCGAGAGCAGGAUCUUUCUUUCCGAGGAGCGACUUACCAGCUUGCGGUCGCUGGCCCGGUCUGUCGCUGAGGGGUCCCCUGUCUCCCUGGCGACCCUUUCUCACCUCCUUGGAAAGAUGGUCUCAUGCAUUGGCAUCGUGCCUUGGCCCCGUCUCCACUGCAGGGCUCUGCAGUGGUUUCUUCUCCCGUAUCAGAAGUCCCAUCUUUCGGCCUCCAAACAACUUGUUCACCUUAACCCUUCCGUCCUUCAGUCCCUCCACUGGUGGUCUUCCGGGGCCCUAUCCAAAGGGAGGGAAUUCAGGGAACCCAACCCUGUCAUCCUAACAACAGAUGCCAGCCUUCUCGGCUGGGGGGCCCACAUUCAAUCUCAUAUGGCCCAGGGCCUAUGGACCUUCGAAGACAAGGCUUACAACAUAAAUUGGCUGGAGCUCUGAGCCAUCCACCUCGCCCUCCGGGUUUUCAAGGGCACGGUCAGAGACCGACAUGUGAUUGUCCGGACGGACAACGUGGCCGCCAAGGCCAACGUCAAUCGCCUGGGGGGGACUCGGUCCCGCCUUCUCAUGAUGGAGGCGGAACGCUUGGGAGCUUGGGCGGAGGCCAACCUGCGAUCUCUGCGAGCCUCCCACAUCUCCGGAGCGACCAACACCCAGGCCGACUGGCUGAGCCGCUCCAGGGUGGACCACGGCGAAUGGAGGCUCCACCCGGAUCUCUUUCACCGAAUCACGCUCCACUUCGGGACUCCAGUGGUGGACCUGUUUGCAACGAGGGACAAUCGUCAAACUCCCCACUUCUUCUCCAGGUUUCCGGACCCGAUGGCGGACGCCACGGACGCUCUCCUGAGCGAGUGGCCCAGGGGUCUUCUAUAUGCCUUUCCCCCCCUUCCCCUCCUGUCCAGGGUAAUCCGGAAACUUCUGGAGGAACGUGCGGAGCUGAUCCUCGUCGCGCCCCACUGGCCCCGUCGGCCUUGGUUCGCCGAUCUUCAGGCACUAUCGAUUCGUCCUCCUUGGCGCCUUCCUCCCGCCGACGUUAUCCUGCAACAGGGUUUGCUCCGUCAUCCGGAUGCCGCUUGGCUGCAGCUAACCGCCUGGCGGUUGAGCGCCAACUCCUGACGGAGCGUCAUCUGCCUGACAGCGUGGUCGACACCAUCUCGGCGGCCCGUCGCCCGGCCACGGUACGAAUUUACCAGGCCACAUGGAGCUCCUUCGCGGGAUGGUGCACACUACAGGGGAUUGACCCGAAACGGGCCUCUACAGAACAGGUACUCGUUUUCUUACAGAAGGGGUUGGACACGGGUCUUGCUCCAAAUACUUUACGCAGGCAAGUAGCCGCCUUAUCUUCUAUUCUCUGCUUGGGGUCUAGGAACUCUCUAGCCCAACAUCCCCUUAUUCGACUGUUCCUCAAAGGGGCAUCAAAUAGUCGCCCUCCGCCCAUACACCGCUACCCCACCUGGGACCUUCCUAAAGUUCUAGACGCCCUUACUCGGAGCCCCUUCGAACCUAUCCACUCAGUAGGAUUGAGGUUUCUCUCCUACAAGGUGUCCUUCUUGAUCGCAAUCACAUCCACUAGGCGGAUUUCGGAACUGGCAGCUCUAUCCACGAGGGCUGACCUCUGCAUCUUCCACCCUGACAGGGUGGUCCUCUGUUUGGACCCCACCUUCCUUCCCAAAGUUAAUUCCACCUUUCAUCAAACUCAAGAACUGGUUCUCCCUGAUUUUUGUCCCCGCCCGUCCCACCCUAGGGAACGUGUUUGGCAUUCCCUGGAUGUCCGCCGCGCUCUACGCAUUUAUCUCUGGCGGACUUCCUCCUUCCGCAGGACGGAAGCGCUUUUCGUCUCCUUUCAGCCCGCAUCAAUGGGCCUCAAGGUUUCCUCUCACACGGUGGGGCGUUGGCUUCGCGCCACUAUCGCCUCAGCCUACGAGGCUUUGGAUAUUCCUGUCCCGGGGCGCAUCACCGCCCAUUCCACACGUAGCGCUGCCACCUCUGCAGCCUGGGCUACCCAGGCUUCCCUUCUGGAUAUAUGCCGGGCAGCUACCUGGGCGUCUCCCACGCCCUUCAUUCGUCACUAUAAAAUUGAUUCCUUUGCUUCGGCGGAGGUGGCUUUCGGCCGCCGGGUUCUCCAACAGGUCUGCGCAGACCAAGCUUCCACGUCCCAGGCGGGUCCCUCCCAGUAGUUCAUGGGCUUUGGCAUGUCCCUUUCCUGACCGCAGUCUCCCUCGUGUCCCUAGAACGGGCGUUGUCUUACCUGAACGCCCCUUCUGGGGACUGGGGAGACUGCAGUCAGCCCCACCCUUCCGCCGGUCCGUCUCGGCCAGGGCACUUCUGUUUUUCUUUAUUUCAGGUUGGCUGGUGCGUCGUCAGGAAUCACAUCACAUCCCUUAUCCGAAAGCUGGAGGGAGAAGCAGGAGGAGGAACUUAGCAAUUCCUGACUCGAUCUACGCUGGAUUGGGAGCAGUAACCCUUUCCUGACCGCAGUCUCCCCAGUCCCCAGAAGGGGCGUUCAGAAUAAUUCUUCUUAACCAAGUCAAUUAAAGAACGUCCUGGAAAGAGCUUGACAAGGAAAUAAAAUAUGUC